RNAcentral lists this ribosomal RNA (253 nucleotides) under uncultured bacterium. RNAcentral's name for it is "partial 16S ribosomal RNA". It matches the Rfam family "Bacterial small subunit ribosomal RNA", at positions 524 to 776 of the family's 1533-position model. The record is from RNAcentral.
UACGGAGGUUCCUAGCGUUGUUCGGAAUUACUGGGCGUAAAGGGAGCGCAGGCGGACCGUUAAGUCUAAAGUGGAAUCCCGGGGCUCAACCUCGGACGUGCUUUGGAUACUGGCGGUCUUGAGUUCGCGAGAGGAAAGCGGAAUUCAGGGUGUAGCGGUGAAAUGCUUAGAUAUCCUGAGGAACACCAGUGGCGAAAGCGGCUUUCUGGCGCGAAACUGACGCUGAGGCUCGAAAGCGUGGGGAGCGAACGGG